This 1253-nucleotide long non-coding RNA is filed under the name Homo sapiens (human). RNAcentral's name for it is "HSALNT0163761". The record is from RNAcentral. Lineage: Eukaryota; Metazoa; Chordata; Mammalia; Primates; Hominidae.
GAGAAAAAAAUUUAUUCUUACUCCCAAGCUAUCCCAGACUGAUGCAUUUGUCUAAUUUUUCAUGUCGUUGUAUAACUUCUCCAGUAAUCAUUUUCUUUCUUACUCAGGUACAUUUAAAAACUGUGGUCUCUAACCAGAAUUCUUCACAUAUGGGUGAAAGUGUGUCUCUGCUUAUUCUGUUAUCCAUGUCGACAGCGGAGAAUUUUCAUUGUAGGUCUCCAAGCAAGAAUUUCAAAGUGGAUCCCUUGACCUUACUUAAUUAUAAAAUAAGUACAUCUCUUCUUUUAAGUGCCUUCUUGACAAGCAGGGAUUGUGCAGGAGGAAACCACACCCCUGAGAGCCACUGCUGCGUCUCUGGGAAGUCUCCACUUGUGUGAAGAACGUUAUUACUCUGCCCUCCAAGAUAAUUCUCUCCAGAAUGAAUAAACUCAAUUCCUUUCAUCUUUCCUCUUGGGCUUUCUUUUCCAUGCCUUUGUCAUUUUCUCUUUUAUGCCGCGUUCAGAAAUAAAAGGAGCGUAAUAGCAAUCUCUACCUGAACAAGCCUGGCCACAUUUUGUCUUUCUUGAAGAGCAGAGGAAUUUGCUUCACUUUGCCGUUCCUCACUUGUAUCUGUUUGGACUGGUUACCUUAGUUUGUUCAAGCAGGUCCUUCAGGUUAUACCCCUGGACUUCCUCUGCUUCACCACCAUUUCUUUCCAAGUAGAUCUGGAUAUUAGUCAGUUUUAACUUAAUCCAUCCUUUGAAUCAUUCCUUCUGUUCAUCCUCUUGCCUCUGGCUCCAGGCAAAAGUCUCGUGGCUUGAACUUAAGCAGAUCUAUAUUUCCUCUAUCAUUUAAAUGAGGUUACACAGGAUAUCAUUUGAAAACUAGGUUUUAUACCUAAAAAGGAGAUCUUGAUUGUGAUACUCAUGUGUAGACUUUCAGGAUCCUCUCACCAGACAGUUAUACAUGAAGACCACACUUUACUAUUUCCUAAGCACUUUCACAUAUACUCUUUCAUACGAUCCUUUCAAAAACCAGUUAUCACUGAUACAGGAGCAGGACAGGAAGUGCUGGGUAGAGAAAAGUGGGGUCCCUGGUGACGGCUCCAUGCUUGGGCCUGUGCCCAUGGACCCAAGUGGCUGGAUGUCAAGAGGAACACACCCACAGAAGAACACACAGGCAGACAGACACCAGCAGACUCUGGCAGGCCAUCCACGGAUGUGGAGUUUGGCCAAGGGCAGUGGGAGCCCGGUCUGAGUGACCUGACUCCAGGG